RNAcentral lists this long non-coding RNA (209 nucleotides) under Musa acuminata (dwarf banana). RNAcentral describes it as "long non-coding RNA (MACU_LNC004052)". The record is from RNAcentral. Lineage: Eukaryota; Viridiplantae; Streptophyta; Magnoliopsida; Zingiberales; Musaceae.
GAUAAGUAGUGGAUAAUUAAGUGGGGAUAAAAAUCAAGAUGAGUAUUACAUAAGUUUGAAACUUAUCAUUUUUGUCUAUCCAAAUUAGGUUUAAAUUAAGUUGUAGCAAUCCUAAAAUUAUGUUAAAAAAAAAAAAAGAAAACUUAAGAUGAGGUCCAAUAAGAUUAAACCUAAGACCUCUUAGUUGCUUUUAAAGUAGCACAUAAACC